GCCGGGAUGGCGGAACUGGCAGACGCAGGGGACUUAAAAUCCUCCGGGUUCGCCCCCGUGCCGGUUCGAGUCCGGCUCCCGGCACCA
Molecule: transfer RNA, 87 nt
Filed under: Clostridiales bacterium
Lineage: Bacteria; Bacillati; Bacillota; Clostridia; Eubacteriales
Description: tRNA-Leu
Rfam family: tRNA
About the family: Transfer RNA (tRNA) molecules are approximately 80 nucleotides in length. Their secondary structure includes four short double-helical elements and three loops (D, anti-codon, and T loops).
Source: RNAcentral